UACGUAGGGAGCAAGCGUUGUCCGGAAUCAUUGGGCGUAAAGAGCGUGUAGGUGGCCAUGUAGGUCCGCUGUGAAAACUCGAGGCUCAACCUCGAGAUGUCGGUGGAAACCACAUGGCUAGAGUCCGGAAGAGGAGAGUGGAAUUCCUGGUGUAGCGGUGAAAUGCGCAGAUAUCAGGAAGAACACCAAUGGCGAAGGCAGCUCUCUGGGACGGUACUGACACUGAGACGCGAAAGCGUGGGGAGCGAACAGG
RNAcentral lists this ribosomal RNA (253 nucleotides) under uncultured bacterium. Its description in RNAcentral is "partial 16S ribosomal RNA". It matches the Rfam family "Bacterial small subunit ribosomal RNA", at positions 524 to 776 of the family's 1533-position model. The record is from RNAcentral.